CUCAGGAUUCAGCAUGGACAUGACAGACCCCACUUUGCUCUUGGGGCUUCUGCUGCUCUGGAUCCCAGGUGCCAGAUGUGACAUCCAGAUGACACAGCCACCCUCCUUGUCUGCAUCUCUGGGAGACAGAGUCACCAUUACCUGCAGGGCCAGUCAGGACAUUAGCAAGUACUUAAACUGGUACCAGGAGAAACCAGGUGAAAGUCCCAAACUCCUGAUCUACUAUACAUCCAGGUUACAAUCUGGGGUCCCAUCCAGGUUCAGUGGCAGUGGAUCUGGGGCAGAGUAUUCUCUCACCAUCAGCAGCCUGAAGUCUGAAGAUGUUGCCACUUAUUACUGUCAACAAGGUUACAGUGGGUUCCCACAGUGCUACAAAUCAGAACAUAAACUUUCUAGGAAAGCAGAAGUGUGGGUCUGGGCCGCCCCAGCUGACUCUCCUGACGACUUGACCUACAGAAGCCAUUUAUCAGAUCUAGGCAAACAUUUGUGCAAGCUCACUAAAAGGUGUUUGUUUUGGUAG
Molecule: non-coding RNA, 520 nt
Organism: Jaculus jaculus (lesser Egyptian jerboa)
Lineage: Eukaryota; Metazoa; Chordata; Mammalia; Rodentia; Dipodidae
Source: the annotation of a RefSeq genome assembly